AACGCUGGCGGCGUGCCUAAUACAUGCAAGUCGAACGCACUUCGGUUUUUGAUUGACGGUGCUUGCACCAGAUUGACGAGACAUUGAAGUGAGUGGCGAACGGGUGAGUAACACGUGGGUAACCUGCCCUAAAGUGGGGGAUAACAUUUGGAAACAGAUGCUAAUACCGCAUAACAACGAAAACCACAUGGUUUUCGCUUGAAAGAUGGUUUCGGCUAUCACUUUAGGAUGGACCCGCGGUGCAUUAGCUAGUUGGUAAGGUAACGGCUUACCAAGGCAAUGAUGCAUAGCCGAGCUGAGAGGCUGAUCGGCCACAUUGGGACUGAGACACGGCCCAGACUCCUACGGGAGGCAGCAGUAGGGAAUCUUCCACAAUGGGCGCAAGCCUGAUGGAGCAACGCCGCGUGAGUGAAGAAGGGUUUCGGCUCGUAAAACUCUGUUGUUAAAGAAGAACGUAUCUGAGAGUAACUGUUCAGAUAGUGACGGUAUUUAACCAGAAAGCCACGGCUAACUA
This 514-nucleotide ribosomal RNA is filed under the name Lactobacillus sp. CCC 96S9L. Its description in RNAcentral is "bacterial SSU rRNA". It matches the Rfam family "Bacterial small subunit ribosomal RNA", at positions 32 to 503 of the family's 1533-position model. Lineage: Bacteria; Bacillati; Bacillota; Bacilli; Lactobacillales; Lactobacillaceae. The record is from RNAcentral.